This 270-nucleotide ribosomal RNA is filed under the name uncultured archaeon. RNAcentral's name for it is "partial 16S ribosomal RNA". It matches the Rfam family "Archaeal small subunit ribosomal RNA", at positions 477 to 747 of the family's 1478-position model. The record is from RNAcentral.
CAGCCCCUCGAGUGGUGGGGAUGAUUAUUUGGCCUAAAGCGUCCGUAGCCGGCCGAGUAAGUCCCCCGUUAAAUCCAGCGUCUCAAGCGUUGGACUGCGGGAGAUACUACUUGGCUAGAGAGUGGGAGAGGUCAGCGGUAUUCUGGGGGUAGGGGCGAAAUCCUUUGAUCCCCGGAGGACCACCAGUGGCGAAGGCUGCUGACUAGAACACGUCUGACGGUCAGGGACGAAAGCUGGGGUAGCGAACCGGAUUAGAUACCCGCGUAGUCC